Non-coding RNA from Portunus trituberculatus (swimming crab), 73 nucleotides. Lineage: Eukaryota; Metazoa; Arthropoda; Malacostraca; Decapoda; Portunidae. The record is from the annotation of a RefSeq genome assembly.
GUUUCCGUAGUGUAGUGGUUAUCACGUGCGCCUCACACGCGCAAGGUCCCCGGUUCGAUCCCGGGCGGAAACA